CGGUAGUUUUUAGAGUUUAGGGAAUACGCAGAAAGACUGGUUUGUAAAGUUAUUAUUUAUAACACAGAGAAUCCCAAGAAAUCGUCAGAUAAAGACAACAGUAACAAAGCCUGGUCGAUACACGACGUGUGUACUGUGAACGUGAAGGAGCAUACACACUCGUAAUUAUCAGAUCUCAUCCGAGGCGAGGGGAGAGGGGAAGAAAAAGAAAGGAAAGAGAAAUGAAGUACAAAACGGGGAUCUAAAAAUAGCCCAAGAUACACUAGUAUAUCAGCUUGAGGGGGUGAGGGGGAAGGUAUGGGAUGAGGACGAAGCGGGGCGCCGCGAGUAAAGCUACUCCAGCUGGUCGCGGGAUCUGGCGGCGUGUGGCAACGGCCGGGUUGCCGGGACGCCGCAUUCCAGCCCCGAAUAUUGGCAACGUGGAGAGCGCGCGUGUCAGUGCGUCUAAGGUCGGGCGAGGGAGAGGACACGCCCACUUUUUGUGCCGACUGCUCCCUCUUCUUUCUCCCCACGACCCAUCUGCUUGGAUAAAUUCCUGGAUAUUUUUUUUGAGUGUGUGUAAAGAGAUUUGCAAAAGAAAAGAUAAAGAAAUACAGGCUUUUACAGGUUGCAAUAAGAGAGAGACGAUUGGCAAGCGUUGUUGGAAAGAACAAAGCGUCAGAGUGUAGACGCGAGAACGGAUAUCACAGCAGGAGAAAACUUGCCUACCAAGGCGGCAACGAAGGCGCCCCUCGCCCGAGGACGCCGCCGCUGGCCCUUUGCGGACGUCGAGCCGCUGGUGGCUGCUUGCG
Molecule: long non-coding RNA, 791 nt
Organism: Penaeus indicus
Lineage: Eukaryota; Metazoa; Arthropoda; Malacostraca; Decapoda; Penaeidae
Exons: 3
Source: RefSeq, a predicted model, not a curated record